CAGCACUUGGCUCUUAACCAGGAGCUGAAGACUUGCUUCUCCCUUUCCUUUCUUCCCGUGACCUCUUCUGACAUGUCCAGUUCGAAAUUGCAAUUUUUCUAACUUUGAGAUUUAAGAAAUUUUCUUAAACUUUAUAAAAGAACAAAUACAGACAACUGAAAACAAAUUAACGCUUGGCUUUUUUUUUUUUUUUUUUUUUGAGACAGUGUCUCACUCUGCUGCCCAGGCUUGCCUAGGCUGAAGUGCAGUGGCGCGAUCUCGGCACACUGCAACCUCCGCCUCCCAGGUUCAAGUGAUUCUCCUGCCUCAGCCGCCUGAGUAGCUGGGAUUACAGGCAUGCGCCGCCAUGCCCAGCUAAUUGUUGUAUUUUUAGUAGAGACGGGGUUUUUCCGUGUUGGCCAGGCUGUUCUCAAACUCCUGACCUCAGGUGAUCUGCUCGCCUCGGCCUUCCAAAGUGCUGGGGUUACAGGCAUGAGCCACCGCCCCUGGCCUAACACUUGACUUUUAAGGGGCCAAUAUCACUGUGAUUCUAAAAUUUAAGGAGAUGUUAAUGCCGGCCUCUGCAACUACACUUGGAAGAUCCUUCCCAGCAACUGACAACUUGGCCCCUCCACCCCUCCUUCCAGACCUUCCGUGGACACCCUUAAUCACUGCAAGAGCAGCCUGUGCCGUGCUUGGUGAGAUGAGGGCUCCUGUCAACUCCCCCACUGUGGCAGAUUGGAUUGUACCUUCUGAAGACGGCCAAAAUAACAGCUCCCAUCCCGCAUGCUCUUCUGCCAUGGGACUUGCUGCUCUCCCACCGAGAGGUGACAAGGUAGCACAUUUGUACAUAAUAAGGCUGGCCUGGGGAUGGAGGGAGUCCCUGCCCUGACUGUGACUCAGUGAGACUCUUUGCCUGGUCCUAGUCCAAGAGAAACGCAUGCUAUGAUCUCACUGAAGUCUGAAGUGACUCUGAAACUUUGCAGUAAAAAGAAAAUUUCAUCCUUUAAGAUGAGUGGCCCUGGAACCACGGCAGCCAUAUUGCCACCAGCUGGAAGACGAAGCCAACGGUGGGAGAAGACAGAGCUGGUCGAAUCCCCCAGGAGUAAAAUGCAGCCUGUAGUACCCUUCCUGGAUUGUAUCUUACUUGGAGUCUUCUUGUUCUGGGAGGCAAUAAAUUUCUUUGUUAUUUAAGCCAUGAUGAAUCAGCGUUUUCAAUUAUUUGCAGCCAAAAGCAUCCUAAGCAAUAGCCAAGUAUGCAUGGAAGUUCAUGCACUUCUCUCACAGAACAUUAUGUCAGACAUUUAGUUCUAGGAAACAGGCUUAUCUGAUUUCUCAGUUCUAGGAAGCAGGCUUAUCUGAUUUCCUAGUUUCUGGCAGAUUAGAAAUAACUUUCUCUAUUCUCUAGAAAUAGAGAAAGUUAGAGACAGGCA
This 1412-nucleotide long non-coding RNA is filed under the name Homo sapiens (human). RNAcentral's name for it is "HSALNT0045040". Lineage: Eukaryota; Metazoa; Chordata; Mammalia; Primates; Hominidae. The record is from RNAcentral.